This 296-nucleotide long non-coding RNA is filed under the name Gossypium raimondii (Peruvian cotton). Its description in RNAcentral is "long non-coding RNA (GRAI_LNC005407)". Lineage: Eukaryota; Viridiplantae; Streptophyta; Magnoliopsida; Malvales; Malvaceae. The record is from RNAcentral.
AAAAAUUGUUUUUCCAAAAAGAAAAGAAAAAGAACCAAAGAAAACAAAAAGAGGCAAAGGAAUAGGAGAACGUGAAAAACAAAACAAUCACCAAAAAUCCCAAAAAAAUAAAAAAAUAAUAAUAAGAAAAAAAUAAAACUAAUAGCUAUUUUUAAACUUAAAACAAGUUUAUUAUUUAACAAGGUUAAAAAUAUUUCUCCAAAGCACACACACAAUGACUCAAACCCAGAACCCAGAGGUACACUAACACUCACUCAACCGCCAGACCAGCUAUACCAUUCUGAUACUUAAAUGCG